This 299-nucleotide unclassified non-coding RNA is filed under the name uncultured Pholiota. RNAcentral describes it as "sequence contains ITS2". The stretch from base 1 to 52 matches the Rfam family "5.8S ribosomal RNA", at positions 103 to 154 of the family's 154-position model. Lineage: Eukaryota; Fungi; Basidiomycota; Agaricomycetes; Agaricales; Strophariaceae. The record is from RNAcentral.
AACGCACCUUGCGCUCCUUGGUAUUCCGAGGAGCAUGCCUGUUUGAGUGUCAUUAAAUUCUCAAUCUUACCAUCUUUUAUUAGUUGGGAAAGACUUGGAUGUGGGGGGGAAAUUUUUGAAGGUUUUUCGAAGCCUUCUCCCCUGAAAUGCAUUAGCUGGAUGCUCGCGCAGACAGUCUAUUGGUGUGAUAAUUAUCUAUGCCAUUAGCUGACUGCCAUUAGUAGCUCUGCUUCUAACUGUCUUUGGACAAUUUAUGACAAUUUGACCUCAAAUCAGGUAGGACUACCCGCUGAACUUAA